Long non-coding RNA from Camelus dromedarius (Arabian camel), 472 nucleotides. RefSeq lists it as uncharacterized. The record is from RefSeq and is a predicted model, not a curated record. NCBI's taxonomy places the organism in Eukaryota, Metazoa, Chordata, Mammalia, Artiodactyla, Camelidae. The transcript is spliced from 3 exons.
AGGAGGAGGACAAGGAGGAAGCGCAGGAGAAGGAAGGAAGCUAGUUUGCUCAGAAUUCCAGCAACUCGGCCCGAAAUAUCAAGAACCCAGCUGGGAGGACUAGCUGCCUAGACACUCACACUGUGGCUCCCAGACUUGAGAAGAAACAAGAGCUGAGAGAAAACCAGUUUCCUCUACUCAGAGAGAUAAGUGCAUAAGCCAUCAUUAACUCCUUGAGGGCAGAAACCAUUAAUUCUACAGCGUGGGGGACCCUACAGCUAGUCCCUGCUUCUCCCUUGCCAACUGAACUCCAGUUUUGUUCAGGAGCCAAUGUGUCCAAUUUUGGACCCUUAGACCUGCAGAGACGUGAUGACUGGUGCUGAAACAACGGCCUUGUAACUAUGAGGAAAAGUCUAAAAGAAUUCCACAGAUGCUGGUCCUGCCAAUAUUGAAUCCAUGAACCCACCGAGUGAUUGCCUACCUCCAAGCUUCU